Molecule: long non-coding RNA, 513 nt
Filed under: Fragaria vesca (wild strawberry)
Lineage: Eukaryota; Viridiplantae; Streptophyta; Magnoliopsida; Rosales; Rosaceae
Description: long non-coding RNA (FVES_LNC001280)
Source: RNAcentral
GUAACCUCAAUAGCGGUUUUGACCACCACCAUUGUCCCUCUCAGGUGAAUAGUUAGUUUGGUAUUGCGCAGGAUCAGACCAUGAUGGCGCAGGUUGUCCUCCCAUUUGUGGCGGUGGUGGCCCUCUCAUAUUGUUGUUUGGAGGCAUCUGAUUGUAGUUGUUCGGAGGCCCCUGACUGUAGUUGUUUGGAGGCCCCUGAUUGUAGUUGUUUGGAGGCCCCUGAUUGUAGUUGUUUGGAGGCCCCUGAUUGUAGUUAUUAGGCGGCCCCUGAUUGUAGGUCGGCUGCCCUCCACCCCAGUUGUUGUUCGGCUGCUGCACAUUGUUGUAGUUUGGUGGUGCACUCAUGUUAGGAGGCAUUGGAGCUCCGUUCACAGGUGGAGGAGGCAUAUUACUGGGUGGACUCAUGUUGUUUGGAGGUCCAGCGUUGCCAGGGCCAUUCGGCCCAGGUUGAUUAGGCAUGGGAGGGGCACCCCUAUUCUGGAAAUCUCUGCGCUGCAUGUUUUCCCUUCUGUU